RNAcentral lists this long non-coding RNA (317 nucleotides) under Capsicum annuum. RNAcentral's name for it is "long non-coding RNA (CANN_LNC005161)". Lineage: Eukaryota; Viridiplantae; Streptophyta; Magnoliopsida; Solanales; Solanaceae. The record is from RNAcentral.
UCUCUUGUCGUAUGGGAGGUUGUUAUGAGUUAUUUACUAUUCUUCACAAAUUGCCAUAUGAGAGCUAAGUUUGUAGUUAUAUUUGUCUGCGAUGAUGCUAAUUAAUGUGUUAUUAUUCCAAAUUGCUUAUGUAUGUUUGUAGGGUGAUACUAUCAUGUGUUGAUGCGUUAUGUUAAAAUUUUAUUCAGGUUUAUUUGCUUAUUAUGUACAAUGAUGUUGGAGAUGAUUCAGGUUCAUUUUUGUACCUUGACUUAGUUUAUGCUAUCUUGCAUUUUAUCAUACCUCUAUCAUGAUUUAGCUCAGUCGGCCUAUGAUGC